RNAcentral lists this ribosomal RNA (440 nucleotides) under uncultured bacterium. Its description in RNAcentral is "partial 16S ribosomal RNA". It matches the Rfam family "Bacterial small subunit ribosomal RNA", at positions 338 to 795 of the family's 1533-position model. The record is from RNAcentral.
CCUACGGGGGGCAGCAGUAGGGAAUAUUGCUCAAUGGGGGCAACCCUGAAGCAGCAACGCCGCGUGGAGGAUGAAGGUUUUCGGAUUGUAAACUCCUUUUGUUAGAGAAGAUAAUGACGGUAUCUAACGAAUAAGCACCGGCUAACUCCGUGCCAGCAGCCGCGGUAAUACGGGGGGUGCAAGCGUUACUCGGAAUCACUGGGCGUAAAGAGGGCGUAGGCGGGAUAGCAAGUCAGAUGUGAAAUCCUAUGGCUUAACCAUAGAACUGCAUUUGAAACUGUUAUUCUAGAGUAUGGGAGAGGUAGGUGGAAUUCUUGGUGUAGGGGUAAAAUCCGUAGAGAUCAAGAGGAAUACUCAUUGCGAAGGCGACCUGCUAGAACAUAACUGACGCUGAUGCGCGAAAGCGUGGGGAGCAAACAGGAUUAGAUACCCCAGUAGUC